CGUAGCCACCCCGCAGUCGCCGGACUGCGUGGGUGUGCGUGUGUGACCCAGCCAUCGCCACCACACCCCAGUUCUGACCCUGGAGUUUGACCAGCAUCCCAAGUGACAGUCAUUGAAGUCCUAUGGCAAGAUAUAAGUCAAAACAACUGAAAUGACCUGAGAUGAAGUGGAUAACCUUGACAUCUUUAAUAUCUAACCAAGCUGUAAGCUCUCCACAGCAUCUGCUUCAGACUCCUUCAUGGUCUUUGAAACAAAUUGUUCUUAUCCAGCCAUUCUAAGUCUUCAUGAACUUGGGGUAGACACCCGCCCCCUCCCCAGCAAAAAAAAAAAAACAACAAAAAAAACUCACCAAGGGAUGAGAGACUUGUCAGUUACCCUUGAUCUAACUUAGCCCAUUUGUGCCAUGAUGGUUUUUACUCUGGUAUGACUGCUGGACAUGCUUGCAGCUUCUUGAAGCCACAAGUGAGAACUGAGUGAAAAGGUGGACACCAGAGGUGAAUGAGCAGCCCUGAAAUGGGCUUGGCUAGUCCUCACAUUAGAGAUGCUAGUCCUCCUAAUACUGCAUGCACUAAAAAAAUAAAUUAUAUAUAUAUAUAUAUAUAUACAUAUAUAUAUAUAUAUAACUAGACAUAUAUUCUCUAAAGUUAAAAUGCUAAGAGAAAGAAACCACUUGUAGAAAGAUACUUAUAGCAACACUUUUGCUGUUCCAAAGAAUUAGAAUUUAAAUGAGUGCCAAUCAGUUCAAGAAUUGUUCUCUAAAUUCUGUUCAUUGAACUCAUCAUCAUUUCAUACAUAUAUUUCCAGGUUUCUCUGAAUCUAUCAUAAUCAUCAUUUCAGAGGGUGCAGCAAUAUUGUAGUACAACCAUGCCAUUUUUUUUUUGGUGGGAUUUUUGGAAGGGGCAACCCAUAUUCUCUCUCCUACUCCUGCCCCAAAUGCAAAAAAGACAGAAAAGCAAAAACUAUUUUGUAUGAAUAGUCAAGGAGAAAAAAAAAAUCCUCUAUUGACUGUGUGAGAAAAUGCUAAUGAAUAAAAUGCUGGACUAGGAUUCAGUAGGACCUGAGUUUAAAUUCUACUUUAGGCAUUUACCAGGUAAGUGAUUAGACAAAUCACUUAACCUCUCCCAGCUUGUUUCCUCAUCUGUAAAAUGGAGAUAAUAAUAGCACCAACCUCAUAGCGUUGUUGUGAAGAUCAAAUGGGAUAAUAUAUAUAAAUUGCUUUGCUAACCUUAAAGUAGUUUGUAAAUAUUAGCUGUUUAUUAUCUAUUAUAUAUAUGUAUGUAUAUAUAUAUGUAUAUAUAUAUAUAUAUAUAAUCUAUGGCUCAUUCUUGGGCCUCUGCUAUGUGCUUUGGGACUAUUUGCUGAUCCUCAUAAAAGACUUCAUUUUCUGCCUCCAA
Molecule: long non-coding RNA, 1394 nt
Organism: Monodelphis domestica (gray short-tailed opossum)
Lineage: Eukaryota; Metazoa; Chordata; Mammalia; Didelphimorphia; Didelphidae
Source: RefSeq, a predicted model, not a curated record